Molecule: unclassified non-coding RNA, 389 nt
Filed under: Corynebacterium amycolatum
Lineage: Bacteria; Bacillati; Actinomycetota; Actinomycetes; Mycobacteriales; Corynebacteriaceae
Description: 16S-23S ribosomal RNA intergenic spacer region
Source: RNAcentral
AAGGAGAUUAUUUUUUCUUUGUGUCAUGUGUCAUCGUGUUGGUGGCGUGUGGCUAUUUUUUGUUUUUGGGUGGAACACCUACUGGUUAGAUCACUGAAGUGGUGGUCUGCGCGUGCGUGUGAUGACUUUAAGCGUUUGUGCUUUCCUUUGGUGUUGGUUGGUUGUUGGUGCGCUGUUGGGUGUCUGGGAUGACACAUGUUGUUGUUCCUGUUUACAGGUUGCUGCGUGCUGCGGGCAGGCUGCUGUUGUGGUGGUUUGUUGUGUGGUGUGUGGGUGUUGUGUGAGAACUGGAUAGUGGACGCGAGCAUCUUGUUUUUCUGUAAGUUCGAUUUUGUCAAGCAGUUUUUCUGUUUGUGAUUGUUCUUAGUUAUUUGUUUGUGUGUUGUGUU